UUAAACGGCCGCGGUAUACUGACCGUGCAAAGGUAGCGUAAUCACUUGUCUUUUAAAUGAAGACUAGUAUGAAUGGCAUCACGAGAACUAAUCUGUCUCCCCCCCCCAAUCAGUGAAACUGAUCUCCCCGUGCAGAAGCGGGGAUAAUACCAUAAGACGAGAAGACCCUGUGGAGCUUAAAAUCAAAAAUCAACUGCUUCACCCACCUUUACUAAAGGAAACAUUUUCCACAGACCUGAUCUAGAUUUUUAGCUGGGGCGGCUGUGGAGAAAAACAAAUCCUCCACGAAUAUUUAUGCUAAAAGCUACCGCCAUAGGCAUUAAUAAACUUAACUUUAAUUGACCCAAUUUUUGAUCAACGGACCAAGUUACCCCAGGGAUAACAGCGCAAUCCACUUUCAGAGUCCUUAUCGACAAGUGGGCUUACGACCUCGAUGUUGGAUCAGGGCAUCCUAGUGGUGCAGCCGCUACUAAAGGUUCGUUUGUUCAACGAUUAAAG
Molecule: ribosomal RNA, 498 nt
Filed under: Leptobrachella minima
Lineage: Eukaryota; Metazoa; Chordata; Amphibia; Anura; Megophryidae
Description: Leptolalax minimus partial 16S ribosomal RNA
Rfam family: Bacterial large subunit ribosomal RNA
Source: RNAcentral